Molecule: ribosomal RNA, 320 nt
Filed under: uncultured eukaryote
Lineage: Eukaryota
Description: partial 18S ribosomal RNA
Rfam family: Eukaryotic small subunit ribosomal RNA
Source: RNAcentral
CCCCUAGAUGUUCUGGGCCGCACGCGCGCUACACUGAACAGUUCAACAAGUCUUAACCUUGACCGAUAGGUCUGGGUAAUCUUUGAACGCUGUUCGUGAUUGGGAUAGACCUUUGCAAUUAUGGGUCUUCAACGAGGAAUUCCUAGUAAACGCAAGUCAUCAGCUUGCAUUGAUUACGUCCCUGCCCUUUGUACACACCGCCCGUCGCACCUACCGAUUGAAUGGUCCGGUGAAAUCUCGGGACGGCGGCUUGGUCGCUUGCGUCCGACUGCUGAAACUUGAUUAAACCAUAUCAUUUAGAGGAAGGUGAANUCGUAACA